CCAUGAAGUUGGAAUCGCUAGUAAUCGCGGAUCAGCAUGCCGCGGUGAAUACGUUCCCGGGCCUUGUACACACCGCCCGUCAAACCAUGGGAGUCGGUAAUGCCCGAAGCCGGUGGCAUGACCUCAUAAGAGGAGUGAGCCGUCGAAGGCAGGAUCGAUGACUGGGGUUAAGUCGUAACAAGGUAUCCCUACGGGAACGUGGGGAUGGAUCACCUCCUUUCUAAGGAGAAA
This 231-nucleotide ribosomal RNA is filed under the name Faecalibaculum rodentium. RNAcentral's name for it is "partial 16S ribosomal RNA". It matches the Rfam family "Bacterial small subunit ribosomal RNA", at positions 1318 to 1533 of the family's 1533-position model. The record is from RNAcentral. Lineage: Bacteria; Bacillati; Bacillota; Erysipelotrichia; Erysipelotrichales; Erysipelotrichaceae.